ACACGACUACAUUAGAUACCCCGGUAGUCCUAGCCGUAAACGAUACUCGCUAGGUGUCGGCCACGGUGCGACCGUUGUCGGUGCCGUAGGGAAGCCGUGAAGCGAGCCACCUGGGAAGUACGGCCGCAAGGCUGAAACUUAAAGGAAUUGGCGGGGGAGCACCGCAACGGGAGGAGCGUGCGGUUCAAUUGGAUUCAACGCCGAAAAACUCACCAGGAGCGACGGAUAUAUGAAGGUCAAGCUGAUGACUUUACCUGAUUUUCCG
This 265-nucleotide ribosomal RNA is filed under the name uncultured archaeon. RNAcentral describes it as "partial 16S ribosomal RNA". It matches the Rfam family "Archaeal small subunit ribosomal RNA", at positions 717 to 982 of the family's 1478-position model. The record is from RNAcentral.